UAGAACAUUUAAAUAGCAUUAUUAAAUCAGGUUAUUUAAAUUAGUUAAUCAUUUUAUCGACGCUUUUUGUUUCUUCACGGACAUAUUUCUGGUUGUUCCAAAACAUUCAGUCAGUGGGCGGAGCUUGUGUCGAAACGUGUUCUCCUGUGACAUUUAAGAUCCUCAGAUCAAUGGGCUGUGUGUCUGAAUCUCAGUUCAGGGACGUGCUUGGAAAGAUGCAUGCCGAAAUCGACGCCAGAGUCAUAAAUUUAAAUCAGCAGUGAGAGCAGCUACCAUUAGGGAGAUAGAUGCACCACUACAUCAACAUGUUUAUCAUCUGCAGGAGUCAUUCCUGGCCCCAGAGUUUUUACAGUUGGUAAAAUACUGUACUUCAAGUGAUGCAACCACGGAAGGAUUAAUGAAACUCAUCCAAACAGAGGCAGGUGCCUCUGAGUGAGACGAAGUGUGUGGAAGUGGAGCAUCACGUAACUGAAGCUCUGCUUCACAGAGGCCAGCACAUGCACGAGCUCUGCCCAUCUCCUCAGGCACACGCUGGACCUGAUCACAUGGAUGCAAGCUUCACAUGAGAGGAACAAACUCUGCCCUAUGUGUGGGUUAAUAUCAGUUUCGUCAUAGUCCGACUCCAUCUCAAUCUUCACCUGGGGCACGGGGCAGGACAUCCCUCUGGUCAUCGGCAUCGCCGGAGAUGAUGGACAGGAGAUCUUCAGGUGCAGAGUGAUGCUGUGGAAUGGCAACUUCCAGUUACAAGAGUGAGGAGGAGAAAGAGGAGAGGGCUAUGAGAGGAAAGAGGAACAGCUGAGGAGCAGUCUGUAUUAAGAUGUUAGUUGCAGGUGACCGCACAAGUGCUGCAGGGGAAAGAUCUGGGAUAAGGACACCCAAAGCAGGAGAAAGGUUCAGUAUGCUUGUCCUGGGUUAAGGAGAUAAUUAAAGUGUUUAAAUGCGAUAAAGACUAGGGCAACAAUGGUAGACCUUAACAACAAGGUAGAACAUUAACAUUAGUUAAUCCAUUAGUAAUUAUGAAAUAAUUCUGGUUUAUGGUUAAUGUUCAUUUCUAAUUUAGACAUUUAUAAUAUAUAUUUUGCCAUUCCUGUUAAAAAUAAUAAUAUAAUAUAAAUUGUAAUACAUUAUAUUUUUAAUAAUAUAUAUAUAUAUAUAAUUCAAAAUAUAUUUCAAAUAUAAUUUAUUCCUGUGCUGGAAAAGUUCAGAAAUCAUAUUAGAUUAUUUAUUAAAAUAUUAAACGUUUUUGUGGAUACUGUGCUACAUUUUUCAAGAUUUUUUUGAUAAGAAAAAUUUAAUUUUACAAAUACUUUUGUUUUAAAUUUAUUUUAGUUUUUUGUAACAAUGUGAAAGUCUUUACUAUACAUUUGAAACUGUUAAAUCUUAAGUAUGACUUCUUACUAACCCUAUAUAUAUUUUCUAUUUAUAUAAAAAUAAUAUAUAGUAAUAGUAUAAUUAUAAAGUAUUAUGAUCGUUAACAGUUAACAAUAGCUAUAAUGUCUAAUAUGAUAAUAAUCCAAAUGAUGCCUAAUGCAAUAACUAAUGUGAACAAAUUGAACCUUUGUUAAAGUGAACACUUCAUCCAAACCAUGCCCUCUGAACAGCAAUGCAGACAUGAAACCAGAAACCAAGCAGAUUUUACAUCAGAAUGAUACAGAGGCACACAUUUGGAUAAGUAUGGUUGUGAAUAUAAUUUCAGAGGAACCAGGCUGGGGGAAAAAACCUAGAAAAAUCUAGUACAAGCAAUUCUGUAGAAGCACUCUUAUUGAAACCACAAUUAUACAGGGAAAGAAACAACCAAAAUUCCUUAAGAGAACUAAUAUGCAUUGUUACAUUAUGCACUUUAUAGCUACUGAAAAUGUAUUCUAGAAAGCUUGCAAAAAGUAAUUCAAAUAUGAAUCCCUGGCUCCUUUCCAAGUAUUUAUAUAAACAAACUGUUCCCACAUCUAAUUAUUAAAAGUUCAGUAAUUAUUAUUUAUGUGUGCUGUUCCUUUAGGUGUGAACAUGUAAGCAAAAGAAAUAAUACAUAUGCAUAACACCAAAAAAUACACUUUUUUUAUAUAAAAGCAUGCAGAGUAAAAUACUGGUGGUUGCAUGAAAACAAUUCUAUCUGCAUUGCUUCAAAGCGCAUGGCAAGGGCAAUGAAAAGAUAGCUAAAAACCCAUAUGCAAGGUUUCGCAUGACCUUAUUUAUUGGUCUUAGCAGUUACACAUUUAAUAUUCUCAACUAUGUCAUCUAUUUCUACUGAUUGUACAUAGGAACGCAAUCUUUAGUAUUAUUAAAUGUAGUGGAGGUGCGUAUUGUAAAGGAAAUCAGUAGUGACUGCCUGGUUGGCAUCGUGCCGCCCACUCUGAGUUGGAGUCUGGCGCCUGUAAGAGGUCACGGUAGGGAACGUGUAGUUUGAGCACACAGUACCUGCGAUCCAAGUCCGAAUCACUGGGGGAGCAGUUUGUAUAGGGGUUAUACUUGUCCUAUGGGUCAAAGAACGGAUGAAGAUUAGAAUGUGUCAUGAUUGUCUGAGGUUUUCCACCAGAAGGUGGCACCAGAGAAACACAAUACAGCAAUGUGGAUGUCAAAAAUGAUUUAAAUAGAUCCAUUUUUACGUGACUUAAGUCAAAUAAAACUUCUCUCAUUACAACGCCAGCAGCCUGCAUCGUACUACUAAAACACUUACGUCUUCACUGUCAUUCCCUCCUUUGCCUUUCUUUUUGUCUUUCUUGGUGUUCUUCUUUUCCUCCUUUUUCUUCUUUUUCUUAUCAGGCAGGAUAUCAUCCAGCCAUGCCAGAUCGUGUUGAGAGAAAACCAUGUCCAACAUCUUUCGUAUCACCAUAAGACCAAGUAUCUGGGGUAUCGAGGGGGGAAAAACUUUUUUUUGUAUGCUUAAUGCAUUGUUAAUAUUUAUUAUUCUUGAGGUAAACCUUGAGUUAAAAUACAAGUUAAAAUCAUACAAUAUACUGAAGUACACUGAUCCCUUACUGAAUAGAUUAUAUUCAGAAAGCUUUAUGGAAACUUAAUGUAGUUUUGACUCAUGAUAUACAUUUAUGUUUUUGUGUGGCAAUAUAAAAUGUUAUCAUACCAUGACAGGGAAGAUGAUAGCGAGGAAGGUGGAUUUGAGGAUCCAGAGAACAGCUAAGCACACAAUCUGCAGCAGUGUGAACAGGUGGACUCUUCUCAGUGGAACGUGACGCAGAUAAGGGAAAUCUGGCUGGUGUUUUGCUGGCAUCAUAAUCAGUUUGAUCCUGUCCCAGAACUAUAAAAGACAGGAUGUUUAAUUAGAUACGCAGUGGACAAAAAAGAAAAAUCUGUCAAUAUUUACUCACUCUCAUGUCAUUUCAAACCCAAGUGUCUCUUUUCCAUCUAAUAAAAGUGCUUGAGGUCCAUCA
This is a long non-coding RNA of Carassius gibelio (silver crucian carp), 3380 nucleotides long. RefSeq lists it as uncharacterized. Lineage: Eukaryota; Metazoa; Chordata; Actinopteri; Cypriniformes; Cyprinidae. The transcript is spliced from 6 exons. The record is from RefSeq and is a predicted model, not a curated record.